This 139-nucleotide small nucleolar RNA is filed under the name Leersia perrieri. Its description in RNAcentral is "snoRNA snoZ247". It matches the Rfam family "Small nucleolar RNA Z247". Rfam says of the family: Z247 is a member of the C/D class of snoRNA which contain the C (UGAUGA) and D (CUGA) box motifs. Most of the members of the box C/D family function in directing site-specific 2'-O-methylation of substrate RNAs. The record is from Rfam by way of RNAcentral. Lineage: Eukaryota; Viridiplantae; Streptophyta; Magnoliopsida; Poales; Poaceae.
CCCCUCGACGAUGAGGACUUGAUGUCCUACAUCCUUGCCGGCCUAGAUGAAGAUUUUGAACCGGUGGUAUCCUCGUUGGUAGGGAGAGUAGAUCCAGUUCCUUUUGCAGAGAUGUAUUCGCAAUUGUUGAGUUUUGAAU